Molecule: long non-coding RNA, 1930 nt
Filed under: Sus scrofa (pig)
Lineage: Eukaryota; Metazoa; Chordata; Mammalia; Artiodactyla; Suidae
Description: lncRNA (ENSSSCG00005023208.1)
Source: RNAcentral
CCAUUUGUUGGGCCGCUCCCGCGGCAUAUGGAGGUUCCCAGGUCAGGGGUCCAAUUGGAGCUGUAGCCACCAGCCUAUGCCAGAGCCACAGCAACGCAGGGUCCGAGCCGCGUCUGCAACCUACACCACAGCUCACGGCAACGUCGGAUCCUUAACCCACUGAUCAAGGCCAGGGAUCGAACCCGCAACCUCAUGGUUCCUAGUUGGAUUCGUUAACCACUGAGCCACAAUGGAAACUUCCCAAUGAAGGGACUCUCCUGAGAGCACAGUCAGAGCAGAACUGGGACUGGAACCCAGGUCUGGUGCCGGGGCUCACCUCCGUCUCCUGGGACAAAGGACACUGGUGAGCGCCGUGCUCCAGGCGGAUACUUUUUUUUAGGGAGACAUUUACAGUGUUGGAAUGAAGGUGACUGGGGAAGGAAGAACUGCUCUUAAAACCAAAUUAUGAAGAGUUAUUGGAGGGACAAGAAUAAAAAAGCAUCCCAAGGAGGAGCGUGAUCUUUGUCUUCAACCAUUUCCAGGUCUGUCUCGUGAAAAAGAGGCUUCUUGGUAAGAUGUGCGGGGGAGGGGUACGGUGGAUAUCAAAUCCGGAUUCUAAAAGAACUCGAUGCAAAUCCUAAAUGGGAGGGGGUGCUAACCGAGGUCCUCAUAAGUCCCUGGAGGUUUCCAAGCAGAGGUCAAAUCUGUCUCUAUGUGCAUGUAUGCAUGUAUGUAUGUAUGUGUUUGUCUAUCAUCUGUCUGUCUGUCUGUCUAUCUACCUACCUACAUACCUACCUACCUACCUAUCUAUCCGUCCAUUCAUCUACCUACCUAUCCAUCCAUCCAUCUGUCUGUCCGUCCAUCCAUCCAUCCAUCCAUCCAUCCAUCCAUCCAUCCAUCCAUCGUCCACACCUCUAAGACCCUUUCAUCUCUAAGAUUCCACAAGCCUUUGAAAUGUACUAAAAUCAUACACGGAAGCCAAGAAGUAAUCCUGUACUCCCUGCUCACUAUUUUUAGGGAAAAAAAAUCUUAUAAAAUAAGUGGAGAUAAAGUCUAUCUAUUAACACAUAUUUAAGAGGUAGAGUAAAAAGGCACCCAUAUUAUUAACUUAAAUCAUGAAUACUCUCUGAAGUGUAAAAAAAAAAAAUCAACUCACUUUUCUUUAAAUCUUCUUAAAAGGGUCUAAGAAUAGUCCUUCAAAUAAUCCUUGAAGUACGCAAUUUUAAUUUGGACACAUGGUAAUUUCAGUCUACCUGUUGAAAGAGACCAGAGAGAAAUCAGUCAUUUUUUGACGAGGUGGCUGUUCUGACAAGCUGCACAUGAGGUUCAAGCAGCCUUAGAGGAGGGGGUGGGCGGGACUGGGUGGGCAGUGGCUGCCGUCUGAGCUGCAGACUGGUUUUUGAACAUUGAGAGGAAAGGCCACUAAGGCAGAAUCCCAGUGCCCGGCCCGUGGCAAAUGCUCAAUGAAUAUUUAAUGAACAAAUGAGGAAAAGGAUGGGUGAAUCAUUGUGUGUGAUUUAUCAUGACCUUUUGAUACAGGCUCAGCUCUUUGACUCUUUGGGAGAGAUCAUUUCCAGGCACUGGGUGUAUCAUAGCAAAUAGCUGUGAGAAAGGCUCAUGGCGUGGUGGGGAGCAGGGGGCUUUGGAACCAGCUGCAUCUAUGUUUGAGUCCCAGCUCUACGCUGUGCAGCCCUGGGCUGUCUUAUUUCUUUAGGUUUACUAUGGUUCUUCAACUGGAUACGGAGCCCGCUUGGUAAUUUUCAGCCCUCCAUCUUUCCGAAUACAAGUGUUGAAGGCCAUCCAUUUCCCUUAAGUGCUGUCUUGGCUAUAUUCCACAGCUUUGAUAUUUGAUAUCUCUUAUCAUUCAUUUAUAAGUAUUUUAUAAUUUCGAUUAUCAUUUCUUCUCUGACCCAUGAGUUAGAAGCCAAGAACUCUCAAUGUAUUGUUUUCC